UAAACUUGCUAGAGAAAUCCCAAACAUUAUCAGCCUUUCCAACAUCUCGUGUAUCCAAACUAAUCGGAACAGUUACCUUUGUGAGAUCAUCGAUGAUAUUUGAAGAACCACGCUUUGGCUUGAAUGUGUUCCCAUCAACUUCAAUAAACCGUGCAGCAAUUUCAUCAAAGGAUAAUCGCGGCUUCCCACGAGGAUCCUGUUGAUUUACACCAGAACUGUUAAGUUUAUCCAUAUCCAUAUUGAAACCCUAGUAGUCGUCAACAGAGAUUUAGGAAACAGGAUUGCCGGCUGAAAAACGGCAGCCGAGACAAACCCUAGCCGAAACCUGCAAUUGAAGUGUAUCAAACCCUAGCCGCCAAGAGACUGAAUUCGACAAAACCGACCAGAAAUCCAAUUGGAACGAACAAACCAGGCAACUCUCUCCUAUAAUCAAACAGAAAGCAACGAACAUGCAACAGAAAUCCAAACAAACAACGACCGCAACCAAACAGAAACCCUAAUCUAGUCGGCAAUAAAGAACGAAGGAAAACAGAAACCCUAAUUUAAAAUCGAUCACAACUGAUAACAGAAUCUGCACUAGAGAUUGGAGAACAAUCGCUAAUAUCAAACAUGUUAAUCAGAAGAUUACGAAGAAGAAAGUAGGGUUACAUGAGGAACGAUAAUCGCCGGCUAGAGAGAGAGAUUAGGGUGCGGAUAAUGAUACCAAAAUACUAAGUACCAAAAUACGAUCUUGCUACUCAUAAUCAGGUUGGAAAACUAAGUUCGCUAUGUGUUUUAAUUUAGAAAGCUAAGCUAUACUAAAUUUUAUAGUUUUAUGGGUACAAUUAGUUGUACAACUUUUUUUGUUCAUUUCAAUUGAUUUUUUUUUUUUGCCAACUUAAACGUAUGUUUGAGGUACCUAUUGGAUCAAACAAUGGCAUAACUUGUUUACGAGGUAACCAUGUUCUCAUUAUUGUUUUACAUUUAUCAUAGAAACAUGGCACAAGUAUAUUAUAAAUGCGUGAUUUUUCCAGACAUCUAAUGAAACAAAAUGUUUGUGCAAUGUAAUCAGAUGUGCGGGAAGCCUGAUGUUACCAUAACAGAUAAGAGUUAGUCACAAUGGGGUUUUUGUUACUUAAGCUCAGUUUUGCUUUAUUUUACAUUAUUCAAUUUUUUAUGUUGGAUUUUUUUGUGCAGGUGUGCAAACUUAUCUUUAGUGGGCUAAACAAAUGGACUUGUGAUAUUGAUAAGGGAUUAGGCUAGUGGGCUAGAUAAUAUGUGAUGGACUGGAGUUAGGCUUGUAAAGGGAGUGUGCUAGUGCAACUUCAGUGGACCUUAUAUCAGAGUUUGAACAUCAGAAGUAAAUACGGUUUUGUGUAUAUUUAGAGGAGUGUAUAUUUAGAGGACAAGGUUGCAUUUCUUGGCAGCAAGCUCUUCACACAGUUAUAGGUUUUGAUUAAGUUUUGUAUUUAUUCUAAUGUGGUUUUCAAAAUAUAGAACGUGGGUUGUAAGUUGUAACUACCAGGUAGAAGUUUUUUGUGUAAUUGUUUAGGUCAGUUAAUUUAUGUGGAUCGUGGGUUUUACGUUUAUAAUUAAAACAUAUGUUACU
Helianthus annuus (common sunflower) is the source of this 1588-nucleotide long non-coding RNA. RefSeq lists it as uncharacterized. The record is from RefSeq and is a predicted model, not a curated record. NCBI's taxonomy places the organism in Eukaryota, Viridiplantae, Streptophyta, Magnoliopsida, Asterales, Asteraceae. The transcript has 3 exons.